CUCUGUUGCUCUCGUUUCCUCAUAGAACCUUAGGUGUAUUCGUCCUCCUCUUCUUCAACCGCCAUCCCUUUCGCCUACGAUAACCAUCUCACCUCCAGCCCUUUUCCGUUAUGGUUUCCGCCGUUUUCCCAUUCUCGGCUCCUUUCUUUUCGUGUUUUCGCCUCCAUUAUUGAGUGGAUGUGUCACCGUAAGUUCUUAUUUUCUCUGCGUCAUCACCAGGACAAAAAUUGAUAUCACUCAAGCUUGAUUCGUUGUUGUUCAAGGUAAGAACUCAUUGUUCAGCUUGGAAGAUGAAGUAGGUUAUGUCAUUCAAUUUGAAUGCAAAAUUUCAUCGAACAUAUGGCGAAUGACUUAAUUUCUCAGUCUAGCAUUCUCUUGAGGUGUCUGUAAUUUUCAUGAAAUCAAGAGGGACGAUGGAGAAAGGACCUAACCUCCUAAGCACACAAGAUAUGGAUUAGAGAGAUAAGCAAUUGAAAUCCUAUAGAUGUGAUCAUGUGGUUUGAUUCUAUCUAUUUGGAGUUAUGGUAUAAUUUAUUAUUUAAAAAGUUUUUUUUUGUGAUGUUAAAAUUCAAUUGUCACUUACUAUUUGGUUCUUAUAAUUUUCUUCUAUUGAAUCUUGAUCCUUUUAACCCUUGUUAAGAUUUAUUUUGAUUGCUUUGCAUGAUUAUCGGUAAGUUUGAGAAAUUACCCUCUUUGAUAUGUUUCCAAUGGUAAUCUCCUCAAGUAGAAAGAUCAUCGAUUUCCCUUUCUAUCAAGAAGGGAUUGUUUGGACCUUAAAGCGAGGUUUGUAAUACAUUUGUGCAUCCACUAAAAAUGAAUAGAAACUUAAAUUUCCUGAGAACUUCAUGCUAAAUGUCUUUUAUUAGAAUUUCUCUCUCAAAAAUCAACUUUUUUUUAUUGAGCCUUUCUUAAGUUCUCUGAGAGUAUUCCCCUUUUGUGGUAUUCAAAAGUUUAUGCUAGAUGGCUUUUAUCAGAAUAUGUUUCUCAAAAGAUAAAAAAAAAUUCCAGUCUUUCUGAAGUUCUAAAGUUUGAUAACAGGAUAGAACAAAUCAUUAGCUAGCGAUAUUGCUCAUCAUUUAUAUUAAUAGAUCUUCUAAAGUGAAACGUUUUAAAAACCCAAUUCAAAUCCCUCUUUCUUGUGUUUUUCUCUACCUUCAACAUGUUGUUUUUCUUGCAAGAGUGAGAUCCGGAGAAUGUCACUCGGACCAUGCACAUAUAUAAACAUAAGAGUAAGUUAAAAAAAUAGAUAAGAGGUCCUAGAUGUAAGAUACAAUAUUUUUUUAAUCAGACUAUGUUUACUGGAGUAGAAGAAGAGAUGACUCGAAAGUUAUGAGAGAUAAUUUUUGGGUCCACCCAUAUUAAACCAAGUUGUUGAAUAUUUUUCCUAUUGUGUUAGUUAUGGACAAAACUUACAUGAAAAACAAAUAUAGACAACCUCUAUUUGAAGUAAUUGGCAUGACGUCAACCGAGUUGACAUUUGGUGUUGCAUUUGCUUAUAUGAAAUCUGAGCAGACAAAGAAAUUUUGUUGGGUGUUGGAUAAGCUGAAACAAUUGUUUUUCAAGAAAGAUUUUUGUCACAAGUGAUUUGGAAUGGUUGAGAUCUUACUUUGAUGAAAGCAAUUGAAGUUAUGGUUCCAAGGAUAGGUAAUUUUCCUUGUCGAUUUCACAUCAAAAAAAUGUUGGUGCAAAAUGCAAGCAAUAUAUGGUGAAUGACAUGCAAAAGGCGAUAGGCACGUUAUGGAUGGAAGUUAUAUGGGCUAGUGAUGAGGUAGAGUAUGAUCAACGAUUGCAACAACUUGAGCAGGGAUGUGUGGAUUAUUUAUUGAUUAUGGGAAAGACAUAUUGUUAACUCAUCAUAUGCAUAAAUUUGUUGAACCAUAGAUUAAUCAAGUGUUGUAUUUGUGUAACACCACGACUAAUAGGUGUACUAUUAGUAUUUGUAUAUUGUAUUCUUUUUUAUGUGUAGGUUUGAUUUUAUGAUUUCUUUUCAUUUUAGGGUUUAUUAUGUUCAUAAAAAAUUGAAGCAGAUGUGGGGAACAAUAUAGGUGACAUAGUCAAAUGUUGGAAGGCUAUGAAUAAUAAUUUGAAGUGACAAUUGGGUAAAAUUAUUGCUUCUUUUCAUAAACGUUUUUAUUAUUAUUUUUUUUUUAAUAAGCAAUUGAUUGAAAAGCUCGCACUAGGGGUGCAACCCUUACAAAAAGACACCAAGCAUUAAAGAUUACUUGUGUCGGAUAAAGGAAGUUUAAACCACUCAUAAUAGGUUGGUCUAAACUUAGUAUAUCCGCUAUACAACCAUCUCCAAGAAAGAAAAACA
This is a long non-coding RNA of Vicia villosa (hairy vetch), 2314 nucleotides long. RefSeq lists it as uncharacterized. The record is from RefSeq and is a predicted model, not a curated record. Lineage: Eukaryota; Viridiplantae; Streptophyta; Magnoliopsida; Fabales; Fabaceae. The transcript has 3 exons.